RNAcentral lists this ribosomal RNA (253 nucleotides) under uncultured bacterium. RNAcentral describes it as "partial 16S ribosomal RNA". It matches the Rfam family "Bacterial small subunit ribosomal RNA", at positions 524 to 776 of the family's 1533-position model. The record is from RNAcentral.
GACAGAGGGGGCAAGCGUUGCUCGGAAUUACUGGGCGUAAAGGGCGCGUAGGCGGGAUGGCAAGUCGGUCGUGAAAUCCCUCGGCUCAACCGAGGAACGUCGAUCGAUACUGCUGUUCUUGAGGAUUGCAGAGGAGACUGGAAUUCCCGGUGUAGCGGUGAAAUGUGUAGAGAUCGGGAGGAACACCGGUGGCGAAGGCAGCUUCCUGGCCUGUUCUUGACGCUGAGGCGCGAAAGCUAGGGUAGCAAACGGG